AGGACGAACGCUGGCGGCGUGCUUAACACAUGCAAGUCGAGCGGUGAUCCUCCUUCGGGAGGUGAGCAGCGGCGAACGGGUGAGUAACACGUGGGCAACCUGCCCCUCACACUGGGAUAACCUCGGGAAACCGGGGCUAAUACCGGAUAUGACCUUCGAGGGCAUCCUCGAAGGUGUAAAGGAUUCUGGCUAGGGAUGGGCCCGCGGCCUAUCAGCUUGUUGGUGGGGUAAUGGCCUACCAAGGCGACGACGGGUA
RNAcentral lists this ribosomal RNA (256 nucleotides) under uncultured bacterium. Its description in RNAcentral is "partial small subunit ribosomal RNA". It matches the Rfam family "Bacterial small subunit ribosomal RNA", at positions 26 to 285 of the family's 1533-position model. The record is from RNAcentral.